UUGGAGGGCAAGUCUGGUGCCAGCAGCCGCGGUAAUUCCAGCUCCAAUAGCGUAUAUUAAAGUUGUUGCAGUUAAAAAGCUCGUAGUUGAAUUUCGAGAUCAAUUUGUCGGUCGUGCCUCGGUACGCACUGGUAUUAUUGGUUCCUACCUUCUGAAGAACCGCGAUGUCAUUAAUUUGGUGUCGUGGGGAAUCAGGACUGUUACUUUGAAAAAAUUAGAGUGUUUAAAGCAGGCUUACGCUUGAAUACAUUAGCAUGGAAUAAUGAAAUAGGACGUUUGAUUCUAUUUUGUUGGUUUCUAGGAUUGACGUAAUGAUUAAUAGGGAUAGUUGGGGGCAUUAGUAUUCAAUUGUCAGAGGUGAAAUUCUUGGAUUUAUUGAAGACUAACUACUGCGAAAGCAUUUGCCAAGGAUGUUUUCAUUAAUCAAGAACGAAAGUUAGGGGAUCGAAGACGAUCAGAUACCGUCGUAGUCUUAACCAUAAACUAUGCCGACUAGGGAUCGGAUGAUGUUAAUUUUUUAAUGACUCAUUCGGCGCCUUACGGGAAACCAAAGUGUUUGGGUUC
This 564-nucleotide ribosomal RNA is filed under the name uncultured Glomeromycotina. RNAcentral describes it as "SSU rRNA". It matches the Rfam family "Eukaryotic small subunit ribosomal RNA", at positions 548 to 1114 of the family's 1831-position model. Lineage: Eukaryota; Fungi; Glomeromycota. The record is from RNAcentral.